This 751-nucleotide ribosomal RNA is filed under the name uncultured prokaryote. RNAcentral describes it as "bacterial SSU rRNA". It matches the Rfam family "Bacterial small subunit ribosomal RNA", at positions 717 to 1482 of the family's 1533-position model. The record is from RNAcentral.
GAAGGCAGCUUGCUGGACUGUAACUGACGCUGAGGCACGAAAGCGUGGGGAUCAAACAGGAUUAGAUACCCUGGUAGUCCACNCNGUAAACGAUGAAUGCUAGCUGUUAGCGAUAUACUGUUAGCGGCACAGAGAAAUCGUUAAGCAUUCCACCUGGGGAGUACGCCGGCAACGGUGAAACUCAAAGGAAUUGACGGGGGCCCGCACAAGCGGAGGAACAUGUGGUUUAAUUCGAUGAUACGCGAGGAACCUUACCUGGGCUUAAAUUGCAGUGGAAUAACGUGGAAACAUGUUAGCCUUCGGGCCGCUGUGAAGGUGCUGCAUGGUUGUCGUCAGCUCGUGCCGUGAGGUGUCGGCUUAAGUGCCAUAGCGAGCGCAACCCUCAUCGAUAGUUACUAACAGGUUAAGCUGAGGACUCUAUCGAGACUGCCGACGUAAGUCGUGAGGAAGGUGGGGAUGACGUCAAAUCAGCACGGCCCUUACGUCCAGGGCUACACACGUGUUACAAUGGGGGGUACAAAGGGCAGCUACCUGGCGACAGGAUGCUAAUCUCAAAAACCUCUCUCAGUUCGGAUUGGAGUCUGCAACCCGACUCCAUGAAGCUGGAUUCGCUAGUAAUCGCGCAUCAGCCACGGCGCGGUGAAUACGUUCCCGGGCCUUGUACACACCGCCCGUCAAGCCAUGGGAGCCGGGGGGACCUGAAGUAUGCAACCGUAAGGAGCGUCCUAGGGUAAAACUGGUGACUGGGGCU